AGAGUCCCAGGCAAUAGGGACAGAGAGACUGGCCCAGCAGGGGCUCUCUGGGCCAACUGAGCAAGGUGACAGGGCCCAGGAAAGGAGCUGUUGGCUGCACAAGGGCAGAUGGAGUCAAGGAAUCAGUGUUCGUGGGAUCCUGGCUGUCCCCACAGUGUCGUGGCUGGACCUUACAAGAACAGAAGCAAGUGAGGCACAGGUAGCUGGCCACCUUGUGCAGGAAGUGUUCGUAACAAAGGCACUCAAAGCAGCAGAGACGUGGGAUGCUAAAGGGACCAAGCGAGCAGAGCAGACAGUGAGUGCCACAAGUGCUUGGAGGGGUCAGCGGGGACCCAAGCAUCCAGAAAAGGUAGGGAGCAUGCAAAGGGGUCCGAAAAAUGGGACCCUCAGUGGGAAGCACUGAGAAGACCUUUAUUCAGUCUCUGUGCCCCGAAUCACUGUCUGCCAGGCUCUGGCCAACCUGUAGCCUCUCCGUGCUGAAAACGACCCCCUAAAAAAGCCAAGGGGGAAGGACCCAGCACACAGCCGCGAACCACAGAUACACCAAGAGAGCCUAAAGUAAAAAAGAUAAGCUUUAAAUCAAACAGAAACUUUUUCCAGCAACUUCUACUCUUGUGAUACUGAACUGAACUGAAGCAAAAGAUUUUAAGAGUUGCCUGAAUCCUUUGGAGUUAACCUGGUUAUUGACUUAAAAAGUCUAAUUGUGAAAUUGACUUACAAAUCCCCUGUGAAAGAAAGGGUCUCUUCUCUCUUUGGAAUGACACUCUCACUAACAAUUUUCUUGAUAAGAGGACCCAACAAACAGCAAUAGAAAUAGAAAACUAUAGAUUGCUAGGUGACAGUAUUUUUUAACCUGCUUCAACCUACAACUGCAAAAUGAACUGGCCCGAUUUAAUUAGAAAAGUCUCACAAUUUCUGACCACUGAUCUACAUUCCUGAAAGGUUCCAUGUGAAAUAAAUGUGGUGUGUGUGUG
Long non-coding RNA from Macaca mulatta (Rhesus monkey), 974 nucleotides. RefSeq lists it as uncharacterized. NCBI's taxonomy places the organism in Eukaryota, Metazoa, Chordata, Mammalia, Primates, Cercopithecidae. The record is from RefSeq and is a predicted model, not a curated record.